UUGCUUCAGCAGUACAUAUACUAAAAUUGAAACAAUAAAGAGAAGAUUAGCCUGGCCCCUAUGCAAUUAUGACACACAAAUUCAUAAGGAAUAUAUAUACAUAU
This is a small nuclear RNA of Dromiciops gliroides (monito del monte), 104 nucleotides long. Lineage: Eukaryota; Metazoa; Chordata; Mammalia; Microbiotheria; Microbiotheriidae. The record is from RefSeq and is a predicted model, not a curated record.